AGCAUGAACAGAACAAUGUGUUUCAUCCCGAGAACAGAGCCGAUCACGCGUCACCAGACGCGUGAAUGACAAGGAAAGGUGCAGGUGAGAUGCCAGUAAAUCAAUUUUUCCCAGCCCGAUUAUUGUUUGUCAGGAGGCCUAAGUAAAACGCACUUCCCGAGUAGCGUGUCAUUCCGACGAAAGAUCGGCGUUCGCAGAUUGUAUGCUGCCAGUUGCCAAGACCUGCCACACGAAUGGGAAGAACAUGUCAGAAGAAAGGACGAGGAGUGUGAGGGGAAGAGAAUACUGGAGAUGGAUCUGUUCGGUAGGAGAAUUAGAGGGAGACCUAAAAUGAGAUUUAUGGAUGCAGUAAAACAAAACAUGGUUGUAAUAAGCGAGGUUGAGGAAGGUGCACAAGACCGAGCACGUUGAAGAUUAAUCUGCUGCGACAACCCUUAACGGGAGUAGCCGACAGAUGAUAGUUUCUUUUUUUAAUAAUUACUGAUGUAAUGAAUAUGUUUUCAGAUGCAGCCGAGUGUGGUCUUAUCGAUGCUCUGGCUGUCUCCCGCCAUCAUAACAUACGUUUUUGCGAGACUGCCACAGAUUCACUAUGGAGGUAAGACGAUCGAGGCUGAAUCCAUAGGUACAGUACUUCAGUCAACUUCUGAAAACCACAUCGUCUUAUUGAUUCAUGACCAGAUUUAUUCGAGAGGUGACAUUUUGCAUCACAUAAGAGUGCCACGGGGUGUCGGACUAUUCGAGAUGGGACGGCAAGCCAUGGAUGCUAAUUCCACUCAUAUACAAGUAACCUCGCUCAUUAGGAAAGCACACUUGGCAAGUUGACUAUCAAUAUUCUGGUCAAAAAUAGCUAUGAAAAUAUGGUUUAUUUAUAAUGUUGAUACAGGUGUAUCAUCUUUCAACAGAUAGCAGCGACAGCAACGGAAGUGUUGGUCUUGGUGGCGAGUGACAACCCAAACUUCCUUAGCAUUUUUUUCGAGUUGUCUCUGCGGAGCCGCUUCUUGGUGUGGACGACUCGGCUUCUUGUGUUUACACGACUGCAGGCUCGGAGAGUUCAACACUUACACGAGACCUUGUCCAUGACCAACUCCUUGCUGCUUACACCAGCAAUUAACAAUAAAAGGUUGGUGGCAUCCGCUGUGCUCCCGUACAGCGAACCUAGCGUGCAGCCCCUUGUGGUCGCAGUCUGGACUCCACGUUCAGGAAUGAGCCGAACACAAGAUCAUCAGACUUUCCCAGAGAAGUUUACUAAACUGAGCACGAUGCCUAAUCUUCUCGUGGCCAUGACGGAAGACGCGAUGAACCGGAAGUUCACCGUGGAGGACCCAACCUCCCACGCUGGGCAGAGAGUCGUGUUUGAAGGUUACAUGGUCGACGUGAUGGAUUACGUCGCUCAGGGAAUAAAUUUCUCGUACGUUUCCAAAAAAAAGAUAAUCUUAUAGUUGGGUAUUUAUAAGUUUUUA
This is a long non-coding RNA of Scylla paramamosain (green mud crab), 1460 nucleotides long. RefSeq lists it as uncharacterized. The record is from RefSeq and is a predicted model, not a curated record. The transcript is spliced from 5 exons. NCBI's taxonomy places the organism in Eukaryota, Metazoa, Arthropoda, Malacostraca, Decapoda, Portunidae.